ACAGAUGAGAAAACUGAAACAUUGAGAAGUCAAGUAACUUGCUCAAGAUUAUAUAGCUAGUGCAUAGAGGGGCAAGGAUUUGAACCAGGCUGCCUGGUUCCACAUGCACUUUAACCUGCUUUAUUUAGGCUUUUGGAAGCAACCUAAAUAGCUAACAUUCGCUAAGUAAAUGCAAUAUACCUGGUCUGUGUGACAUUUUGCAGGUAUUAAAAAGUGAACAUUCUGAACCCUUUUAGCAACAUGGCAAAUACUUCUGAUGUGAUGUAUGCAUAUAAAUAUGAUCAAAAGCAAAUAUCCCAAAAGGUUAAUGGCAGUUAGGUGAGGUUAGUAGUACAAUAGUUUGUUUUCUCAUUUUCUCACAUUUUUAGUAAUGUGUGUUGCCUAUAUUAAAAAACAAAUAUUAAAAAGUAGUAGCAUGUAUUGGAUCAGAGCAUGGGCUCAGACUGCCUGUGUCAUCUCUUAUUAGAUGUGUGACCAGGGACAAGUUAUUGACCUUUUGUUUCUAAGUCUCUAAGUUUAUCCUGUAAAAUGAAGAUAAUUGUAGUAACUACCUAAUAACAUGAUUGUAAGGAUUAAAUUAUUUAGAACACUAUUUGUUACUUGGAAAAUAUGCAAGCAUAAGCUAUUUUGUUGUUAUUGUUAUUUUACUACCAAAGCUUAUUGUUUCAGAGCCCCUAGGUGACCAGGCAAAAUGACAGUUCCCUCCAGCUGGUCCUCAGAUGGGCACAUCUAUUAGCCUCUGCUCUUGUAAGAAGUUAGCUGCAGAACCCACGUGUGAAUCCUUGUAGGACUCUGGAGAAGAUCAAAUGGGAGCUUGGAUGUGGAAGCUCUUUGGAAACCAAGAAACACUCUGCAAAUGAAAAGGGUGGAAGAGUAAACUGUUCCCGUUUCUCCAAAUUGACAGGAAGCAGAAGUUCUCCUUAGCUGAUUUUUCUUCUUGCCUUAUACUGGGUUCUUUAACACCAGAACAAAAAUAAAUAAAUAAAAGAAUCUUCCAGAAAUUCAUGAAGAGACUUCAGGUCAGGAAAGCCUGAACUUUCUCAUCUAACACCUGUUCAAGUCGGAGGAUGCUGAUUAAUUCAUGAUGGAAAGGUAUCAAUUUCACAGCCCAGACUUCUACAUUCUUGAAAUGCUGUUCUCAUGGGAGACAUUAAAUAAGCUUUGAAAUAACUGAAGAACCAAUGAUGUGAUCCCUGGAUACUGGCAAUUGUUGCCCAAGAAACCCUCUCCCCUUGCUAUGGGACUGCUGGGCAC
This 1254-nucleotide small RNA is filed under the name Pongo abelii (Sumatran orangutan). RNAcentral's name for it is "retained intron". Lineage: Eukaryota; Metazoa; Chordata; Mammalia; Primates; Hominidae. The record is from RNAcentral.